Long non-coding RNA from Bombus impatiens (common eastern bumble bee), 531 nucleotides. RefSeq lists it as uncharacterized. The transcript is spliced from 4 exons. The record is from RefSeq and is a predicted model, not a curated record. Lineage: Eukaryota; Metazoa; Arthropoda; Insecta; Hymenoptera; Apidae.
CGAGCCGCCGAUCUCAGAUACCAAAAUGCGCUCUCCUGGUACGCUAGUUCCGCCACGCUCGUUCCGGACCAACUCUAACAUAGAUCCCUUUGUGCGCAGCGCUUAGGCGAGCAGACUGUACCGUACGAUAAAGGACGUAAUUAGUGUUCAACAUUUCAGACAGCAAAGGGCCUAUCUUCGUGAGUUUAUUUAUCGCAAGAGUAAGAACAUAACAUAACCAUAAAUUUCAAGGCACCAACGACGCUGGAGGAAGGGAAAUAUGUGGCGUCGCGUCCGGUAAUCUCCAACGACCCAGCUCGUCGCUCCAAGUGGCCGUGGAUCUGACGGCAGCGACAUCGCGAAACGGACAUCCCGGUCGAAGAUGAGGAACCAUCGCGUCGCAUAUUUGCGAGUCUAUCUCCGGUAGCACCAGUCCUCGCUUGCCUCUCGGACCCGGCAAGAUCCACCAGGUGAAGCCUUCCUCUCUUUACCGGAUUCUCAGUCUUACUGCUCUCUUCGUUAAUGGCCAGCGUUUCCAAGGACAACGUCAAC